RNAcentral lists this microRNA precursor (76 nucleotides) under Myotis davidii. Its description in RNAcentral is "mir-9229 microRNA precursor family". It matches the Rfam family "mir-9229 microRNA precursor family". Lineage: Eukaryota; Metazoa; Chordata; Mammalia; Chiroptera; Vespertilionidae. The record is from Rfam by way of RNAcentral.
GAGACACCUUUAUGGGGCAGGACUUGCUUCACUGGAACUUUGGCGCUCACUGAGUCUGACCCCUGAGUGUGUCUCU